This 231-nucleotide ribosomal RNA is filed under the name uncultured bacterium. RNAcentral's name for it is "partial 16S ribosomal RNA". It matches the Rfam family "Bacterial small subunit ribosomal RNA", at positions 103 to 334 of the family's 1533-position model. The record is from RNAcentral.
CGGGUGCGGAACACGUACGCAACCUUCCCAAAACUGAUGAAUAGCCUUCCGAAAGGAAGAUUAAUACAUCGUAAGAUAAUGAGGUGGCAUCACUUUAUUAUUAUAGCUCCGGCGGUUUUGGAUGGGCGUGCGCCUGAUUAGGUAGUUGGCGGGGUAACGGCCCACCAAGCCUUCGAUCAGUAACUGGUGUGAGAGCACGACCAGUCACACGGGCACUGAGACACGGGCCCG